This 256-nucleotide ribosomal RNA is filed under the name uncultured bacterium. RNAcentral describes it as "partial 16S ribosomal RNA". It matches the Rfam family "Bacterial small subunit ribosomal RNA", at positions 521 to 776 of the family's 1533-position model. The record is from RNAcentral.
UAAUACAGAGGGUGCAAGCGUUAAUCGGAAUUACUGGGCGUAAAGCGCGCGUAGGCGGUCGAGUAAGUCGGAUGUGAAAUCCCCGGGCUUAACCUGGGAAUUGCAUUCGAUACUGCUUGGCUAGAGUGUGGAAGAGGGAAGCGGAAUUUCCGGUGUAGCGGUGAAAUGCGUAGAUAUCGGAAGGAACACCAGUGGCGAAGGCGGCUUCCUGGUCCAACACUGACGCUGAGGCGCGAAAGCGUGGGGAGCGAACAGG